Molecule: unclassified non-coding RNA, 311 nt
Organism: Erinaceus europaeus (western European hedgehog)
Lineage: Eukaryota; Metazoa; Chordata; Mammalia; Eulipotyphla; Erinaceidae
Gene: 7SK
Rfam family: 7SK RNA
About the family: 7SK was discovered as an abundant small nuclear RNA in the mid-70s but a possible function has only recently been suggested. Two independent studies have found that 7SK RNA binds the CDK9/cyclin T complex (known as elongation factor P-TEFb). P-TEFb activates transcription by phosphorylating the C-terminal domain of RNA polymerase II.
Source: Ensembl
GGAUGUGAGGGUGAUCUUAGUCCAACAUCUGAUCACCCCAUUGAUCAGCAGGCUUGAUUCCGCUGAUCUGGUUGUCUAGGCAGGUGUCCCCUUCCUCCCUCACCGCUUCAUGUGCACCCCCUACCCCCCAUCCCUGCUCUGGGUAAACUAGAACGACCUUCCCCAAAUAGACACUGAUGAGUCUUUGGUUGAGGGAAUAUGAGUAGCUACAUUUCCCUUCUAGAACUUCCAAACAAGCUUUCAGGAACUGACUGAUAGAGUUUUGUGAUUCCGUUGAGGAAAAGAUGCACUGAUGUGGUGUGGUGUGUUCU